This 39-nucleotide transfer RNA is filed under the name Datura metel (Hindu datura). RNAcentral describes it as "partial tRNA-His". The record is from RNAcentral. Lineage: Eukaryota; Viridiplantae; Streptophyta; Magnoliopsida; Solanales; Solanaceae.
CGGAUGUAGCCAAGUGGAUCAAGGCAGUGGAUUGUGAUC